This is a long non-coding RNA of Seriola aureovittata, 411 nucleotides long. RefSeq lists it as uncharacterized. NCBI's taxonomy places the organism in Eukaryota, Metazoa, Chordata, Actinopteri, Carangiformes, Carangidae. The transcript is spliced from 3 exons. The record is from RefSeq and is a predicted model, not a curated record.
UUGGUGUUCACCUGGUUCGUCAACGUCCAUCACUGACAGGGUCUCAGUGGAGCCAUCUGAUUGACUGAAAUGAGAGGUUGCAUUGGUUCAUUUGAUGGUUCAGCAGCAACAACAACUUGGAGCUCAUGUGAAAGAAAGCAUGGGGAGCUCGUGGUGGAGUUGCUGCUUUCAUCUUCCUCCUCCUCCUCCUCUUCUUCACCCAUACAUCUCUUUCGACUGUUCUGCUGUCGGAGGACCUCCUCGGUGCGAAGCCUCUGGAGCUGGUUCUGCAGCAUAACGAAAAAAAUCACACUGCUUCUGUUUAAGAUCUAAUGAGAUAUAAAGUGGCUCUCCAACCUGGACAUUGCAGAUUGCAUCGAUCCAGCUUCGCCCCUGGGUGGCGCUGUUGGCUUGGAAAGUGUAGGCUGCCAC